RNAcentral lists this ribosomal RNA (253 nucleotides) under uncultured bacterium. RNAcentral's name for it is "partial 16S ribosomal RNA". It matches the Rfam family "Bacterial small subunit ribosomal RNA", at positions 524 to 776 of the family's 1533-position model. The record is from RNAcentral.
UACGUAGGGGGCAAGCGUUAUCCGGAUUUACUGGGUGUAAAGGGAGCGUAGACGGCAGGGCAAGUCUGAAGUGAAAGCCCGCGGCCCAACUGCGGGACUGCUUUGGAAACUGCCCGGCUAGAGUGCUGGAGAGGUAAGCGGAAUUCCUAGUGUAGCGGUGAAAUGCGUAGAUAUUAGGAGGAACACCAGUGGCGAAGGCGGCUUACUGGACAGUAACUGACGUUGAGGCUCGAAAGCGUGGGGAGCAAACAGG